This 800-nucleotide ribosomal RNA is filed under the name uncultured bacterium. RNAcentral's name for it is "bacterial SSU rRNA". It matches the Rfam family "Bacterial small subunit ribosomal RNA", at positions 8 to 797 of the family's 1533-position model. The record is from RNAcentral.
AGAGUUUGAUCCUGGCUCAGGAUGAACGCUAGCGGCAGGCCUAAUACAUGCAAGUCGGACGGGAUCCAUCGGAGAGCUUGCUCGAAGAUGGUGAGAGUGGCGCACGGGUGCGUAACGCGUGAGCAACCUACCUCUAUCAGGGGGAUAGCCUCUCGAAAGAGAGAUUAACACCGCAUAACAUCAACAGUUCGCAUGUUCAGUUGAUUAAAUAUUUAUAGGAUAGAGAUGGGCUCGCGUGACAUUAGCUAGUUGGUAGGGUAACGGCUUACCAAGGCGACGAUGUCUAGGGGCUCUGAGAGGAGAAUCCCCCACACUGGUACUGAGACACGGACCAGACUCCUACGGGAGGCAGCAGUAAGGAAUAUUGGUCAAUGGGCGGAAGCCUGAACCAGCCAUGCCGCGUGCAGGAUGACUGCCCUAUGGGUUGUAAACUGCUUUUGUCCAGGAAUAAACCUAGAUACGUGUAUCUAGCUGAAUGUACUGGAAGAAUAAGGAUCGGCUAACUCCGUGCCAGCAGCCGCGGUAAUACGGAGGAUCCGAGCGUUAUCCGGAUUUAUUGGGUUUAAAGGGUGCGUAGGCGGCCUAUUAAGUCAGGGGUGAAAUACGGUGGCUCAACCAUCGCAGUGCCUUUGAUACUGAUGGGCUUGAAUCCAUUUGAAGUGGGCGGAAUAAGACAAGUAGCGGUGAAAUGCAUAGAUAUGUCUUAGAACUCCGAUUGCGAAGGCAGCUCACUAAGCUGGUAUUGACGCUGAUGCACGAAAGCGUGGGGAUCGAACAGGAUUAGAUACCCUGGUAGUCCA